GGGUCCUUAGCUCAAUUGGUCAGAGCAGCUGGCUCAUACCCGGUUGGUUGCAGGUUCGAGUCCUGCAGGACCCA
Molecule: transfer RNA, 74 nt
Filed under: Planctomycetota bacterium
Lineage: Bacteria; Pseudomonadati; Planctomycetota
Description: Planctomycetes bacterium (groundwater metagenome) tRNA-Ile
Rfam family: tRNA
About the family: Transfer RNA (tRNA) molecules are approximately 80 nucleotides in length. Their secondary structure includes four short double-helical elements and three loops (D, anti-codon, and T loops).
Source: RNAcentral